Molecule: microRNA precursor, 74 nt
Organism: Medicago truncatula (barrel medic)
Lineage: Eukaryota; Viridiplantae; Streptophyta; Magnoliopsida; Fabales; Fabaceae
Rfam family: MIR5272 microRNA precursor family
Source: Rfam
UUAGAUGUGAAUUGAUUUAUGUUUGGAUACACUCGUUUAAAAGUGAUUCUUAUGCAUUAAUUUUGUUUGUAUAU